AGUGAACGCUGGCGGUAGGCCUAACACAUGCAAGUCGAACGGCAGCACAGUAAGAGCUUGCUCUUACGGGUGGCGAGUGGCGGACGGGUGAGGAAUACAUCGGAAUCUACUUUUUCGUGGGGGAUAACGUAGGGAAACUUACGCUAAUACCGCAUACGACCUACGGGUGAAAGCAGGGGAUCUUCGGACCUUGCGCGAUUGAAUGAGCCGAUGUCGGAUUAGCUAGUUGGCGGGGUAAAGGCCCACCAAGGCGACGAUCCGUAGCUGGUCUGAGAGGAUGAUCAGCCACACUGGAACUGAGACACGGUCCAGACUCCUACGGGAGGCAGCAGUGGGGAAUAUUGGACAAUGGGCGCAAGCCUGAUCCAGCCAUACCGCGUGGGUGAAGAAGGCCUUCGGGUUGUAAAGCCCUUUUGUUGGGAAAGAAAAGCAGCAGGUUAAUACCCCGCUGUUCUGACGGGACCCAAAGAAUAAACACCGGCUAACUGCGU
Molecule: ribosomal RNA, 491 nt
Filed under: uncultured bacterium
Lineage: Bacteria
Description: partial 16S ribosomal RNA
Rfam family: Bacterial small subunit ribosomal RNA
Source: RNAcentral